RNAcentral lists this ribosomal RNA (484 nucleotides) under uncultured Pseudomonas sp. Its description in RNAcentral is "bacterial SSU rRNA". It matches the Rfam family "Bacterial small subunit ribosomal RNA", at positions 898 to 1382 of the family's 1533-position model. The record is from RNAcentral. Lineage: Bacteria; Pseudomonadati; Pseudomonadota; Gammaproteobacteria; Pseudomonadales; Pseudomonadaceae.
AACUUAAAGGAAUUGACGGGGGCCCGCACAAGCGGAGGAGCAUGUGGUUUAAUUCGAUGAUACGCGAGGAACCUUACCUGGGCUCGAACGUAAGAUGACUGUAGGUGAAAGCUUACAUCUCUUCGGAGCAUUUUACGAGGUGCUGCAUGGUUGUCGUCAGCUCGUGCCGUGAGGUGUUGGGUUAAGUCCCGUAACGAGCGCAACCCUUGUCCUUAGUUACCAGCACGUUAUGGUGGGCACUCUAAGGAGACUGCCGGUGACAAACCGGAGGAAGGUGGGGAUGACGUCAAGUCAUCAUGGCCCUUACGGCCUGGGCUACACACGUGCUACAAUGGUCGGUACAAAGGGUUGCCAAGCCGCGAGGUGGAGCUAAUCCCAUAAAACCGAUCGUAGUCCGGAUCGCAGUCUGCAACUCGACUGCGUGAAGUCGGAAUCGCUAGUAAUCGUGAAUCAGAAUGUCACGGUGAAUACGUUCCCGGGCCUU